This 373-nucleotide unclassified non-coding RNA is filed under the name uncultured Weeksellaceae bacterium. RNAcentral describes it as "contains 16S-23S intergenic spacer region". Lineage: Bacteria; Pseudomonadati; Bacteroidota; Flavobacteriia; Flavobacteriales; Weeksellaceae. The record is from RNAcentral.
UCCCCGUUAUCCUGGGCAGUCCCUCCAGAGUUCCCGGCAUAACCCGUUGGCAACUAGUGACAGGGGUUGCGCUCGUUGCAGGACUUAACCUAACACCUCACGGCACGAGCUGACGACAACCAUGCAGCACCUUGAAAAUUGUCCGAAGAAAAGUCUAUUUCUAAACCUGUCAAUUCCCAUUUAAGCCUUGGUAAGGUUCCUCGCGUAUCAUCGAAUUAAACCACAUAAUCCACCGCUUGUGCGGGCCCCCGUCAAUUCCUUUGAGUUUCAAACUUGCGUUCGUACUCCCCAGGUGGCUAACUUAUCACUUUCGCUUAGUCUCUGAAUCUUAAAGACCCAAAAACGAGUUAGCAUCGUUUACGGCGUGGACUAC